GACGUAGGACGCAAGCGUUAUCCGGAGUUACUGGGCGUAAAGGGCAGGUAGGCGGGUCGCUAAGUUGGGUGUGAAAUCUCCCAGGCUUAACCGGGAGGGUGCACUCAAGACUGGCGGUCUGGAGGGCGGCAGAGGAGCGUGGAAUUCCGGGUGGAGUGGUGAAAUGCGUAGAGAUCCGGAGGAACACCAGAGGCGAAAGCGGGGCUCUGGGCCGCACCUGACGCUGAACUGCGAAAGCCAGGGGAGCGAACGGG
RNAcentral lists this ribosomal RNA (254 nucleotides) under uncultured bacterium. Its description in RNAcentral is "partial 16S ribosomal RNA". It matches the Rfam family "Bacterial small subunit ribosomal RNA", at positions 524 to 776 of the family's 1533-position model. The record is from RNAcentral.